AGGAACUGUUAUGUGUGAUCCCCUUUCCUGGGAAUGGCUGAAAACCUGCCUGCCUGUGGGAAAUGGAAAAGAAUUGAUUUACAAAGAAAAGGAAACAGACCAGGAGGCAGAGUGGAAAGGACAAGAAGAGGACUAUCCCAUGUGUGUCAAAUUGCAUUCAUCAUAGGUCAUGAUUGAACACCAGCUACCCUCUCUCUAGCCCAAACAGGCUGAUAAGCUCCCAUUUAUAUAAGAUACAUUACUCAUUUAAUUCAUUUACUGUGUGAAUAAAUUGAAGACUGAAUCCACUGAGUACAUCUUUGCAGAGCAAUAGCAUAACUGCCAAGAAUAUAGCAUUACUCUGUGAGCGGAGAGUGUGGACUUAAACCUGUGUGAGCACUGAGACUGCCAUCAGUUUUCGUUACUGGCUGUGAAAAACUGGGGGUUGACAAAUACUUCAGUGAAGCUGAUCAGACAUUGCAACAUCCCGUCCUUUCCUCCAGCACCCUCACUGAGGGUGUGACUGCUGUGUUUCUUUGAGACUUUUAAUUUUUUCUUUCAAAGUUUCCAAACUCUAAAUUCAUCCUGGUAUACAUAUAUUCAAAUCAGUUAUUUGUUAUUACAUUAGUUUUGCAACUAAUAGAAAAGCUGCAAUCCAAAUAUUUUGCAGGAAAAUAUGGAAUAGAAGGUGCAUAUGUAGCAACUGUUAACCCUUUUGGGGUUCAAAUAAAGACAGAAUCCUUAACUCAAAACUUUAAGUAGGUUAAAAUAUGCAGUUUUCUUUAGUGGAAAGCUUUCAACUGCCAGCAAACCUGUCUUUGUGCAUUUGAGGUAUUCUGAUUUAUGGUAAGAGCUGUGAAACCACAGGCUCUACAGACAGGGCAUAUAUUUAAAGGUUAAAUCUUCACUCUGUUGCACUACUCUUAUGACUGUAGCAUGGUUUUUGAAUGAUUCUUAUCCUUAUUCUGAUCCUUGCAGCACUUGCUGAACUGUGCCACAAAAUCUUGUACAGACUUAUCCUGGAAAUGGAGUUGUAGCUAAACUACAUUACAGCUGUAUCUUCAGCUGUAGUUCUAUAAUGUUUUUCAUCAGUUCUCAUCUAGGUCUUGGUAUUCAUGUUCUGUCUUUGAAUUCACUCUGAAAUUUUAAGGUCCAUGGAGCAAGAAUAACAUUUAUUGCAUGUUUAUAAUCAAGAAUGAAAUCAGAUCUUAUGGUUUGUAUCCAAAAAUAUAUUUUAGAAAUAUGAAAAAAAAAAUAGUAAUCACAAUAAAUAACCAGACUAUUUAAAAUGUAACUCUGCUCUAUGACUGCAUGUUGAACAUUUUGUGAGUUAAUUGUGGCAUUUCAUGAAGAAAUAACAGAUACCCUAUGUAUACCAUGAUAUGUGCAUUUGAAUGCUACAGACUGAUGGGAGAAAAAUUGUUCCCAAAAUUUAACCAAAGAAAUAUCAUACACACAAACACUCACAAUCAGUAAAGACAGGAACAAUAGACAAGGAGAUUUCAGAACAUAAAUUUGUGAUCCUUAAAUUUUUAUACAGCUUCAUUAUUUCUGUGUGAUAUUUGAAAAUCUGUCUGUCUCAUACCUGUCACAUGGUGCUUGAACAUCAAGAAGAAUAGUCUGCACUUACAUAGUACAUUUUCCUCAGACAUCUUUAAAUGCUUUACAGGCAACUGAAUCUCUAAAAUGUUGUCUGAGGCUGAGAAUUAUUGUUUUUUUCAACUAUUCCAUUUACUUACUUCGUAAUUAUAGUUUUCACAGAAAAUCUGUAACAUACUAAUAUUGGAAUCUACUGGUGUAAACUGU
This is a long non-coding RNA of Passer domesticus (house sparrow), 1785 nucleotides long. RefSeq lists it as uncharacterized. Lineage: Eukaryota; Metazoa; Chordata; Aves; Passeriformes; Passeridae. The transcript is spliced from 4 exons. The record is from RefSeq and is a predicted model, not a curated record.